This 253-nucleotide ribosomal RNA is filed under the name uncultured bacterium. Its description in RNAcentral is "partial 16S ribosomal RNA". It matches the Rfam family "Bacterial small subunit ribosomal RNA", at positions 524 to 776 of the family's 1533-position model. The record is from RNAcentral.
UACGUAGGUGGCAAGCGUUGUCCGGAUUUACUGGGCGUAAAGGGUGCGUAGGCGGACAUUUAAGUCAGAUGUGAAAUACCCGAGCUUAACUUGGGUGCUGCAUUUGAAACUGGGUGUCUAGAGUGCAGGAGAGGUAAGUGGAAUUCCUAGUGUAGCGGUGAAAUGCGCAGAUAUCAGGAAGAACACCAAUGGCGAAGACAGCACUCUGGGCCGUGACUGACGCUGAGGCGCGAAAGCGUGGGGAGCAAACAGG